Molecule: long non-coding RNA, 7292 nt
Organism: Acipenser ruthenus (sterlet)
Lineage: Eukaryota; Metazoa; Chordata; Actinopteri; Acipenseriformes; Acipenseridae
Exons: 4
Source: RefSeq, a predicted model, not a curated record
GUUCUUUUUUAAACAGGUAGAGGGUGGAAGGGAGGCAGAUUUUGUGUUCUGGGUUCCUCCAUUUUGUGUAUGGUGGUGUGGUUUGUGUGCAGGUUCUGAAUGGGUUCCAGUUGGCUUUCAGGAUUUUAUUUACAAGAAAAUUAUAUUAAAUAAGAACUAUACCUACCUUGGAGCAUCUCUUGGACAACUUGUUGCUGUUGGACUGCCACUGGAACUACAGAAUAAGCAUCAACAAACAAACAAACAAACAGUCGGGUCUGUGAGGAUGAGAAGGUCUCCACAGUCUGGAGUCUGGUCUCUGACAGGCUCAACAUACCUGUCAAUCAACAGGGACUCCUCUACAAAGGCAAGGCGCUGGCAGGUAGGCUGAACAGCACAGCACAGCACAGCACAGCACAGCACAGCACAGCUCACCCCUCCUCUCACCCCUCGCCUCAUCCCUCCUCUCACUCCUCGCCUCACCCCGGGUCAGUGUGGCACAGCCUGCCUGCUCUUCUGAACAAACACUUCAGCCCUGCCGACGCAGUGAGAGUCUGGAGCAGCAACACAAGGUAACCUGAACACAAACACACACACACACACAGACACACACAAACACACACACAGUGAGAGGCUGGAGCAGCUACACAAGGUAAAUUGAACACAAUAAACACGGCUACACACACAAUCCUAGCUGCAGCAGAUGUACAAUGUUAUACAGACACACACAGACACAGCUGUACAGUGACACAGAGACGCACACACAAUCACAGCUGCAGCAUACACACUCUGAAAUGCAGGUGUAGAGCAGCGUGUAGUUGUGACUCUGUGUCUCUCUCCUCCCCCUCUCCUCUCCUCUCCUUACUUUGUUUAAAAGAAUAGAAGCACACCCAGUGAGCAAGGCAUUGAGCAGCCCCACAUCCCGCUUCACAAUACCGCUACAUAUUGACUGACUGUUCGCAUUGUGUGUGUUUGGUAAGACAAACCACAUUUUCUACUUCUACUUUCUACGAUUGGGCAAGUCAGCGGUUGUUUGAUAACAGAACAUAAAACAUCACAGAGUGGGUUGAACUGCAUUGCUGGAAAUCAAGGCCCUUUAAAAUGUGUACCUUCCCAGCUCAGGUAUUGCUGAGGUAAAGAGACACUUCCUACAGGAGGACAGGACGUUGUCAAGGAGGGGAUGUCGUCACGUGUCCUGAGGGCUUUCUUAAAAACAUUGUUUUAUUAUUUCUAAGCGUACGUUGUUAUUGCCUUUUAGCUCUUGAGCAUAAUAAUCUCAAUCCCGUUUGAAAUGACACUAAGUGCAUUUGCAUGGUGGCAGAUGAGGGAUGUCGCUUCACUCGAGGCUUGCGUACUGAUGAAGAUGUAGUUUCAGUGUUUAAUGCUCAUCCCCUCACUGUGUGUCUGUGUGUGUUCUUGUCUCUCGCCUGUCCUGUGAGGAUGAAGAUGUAGUUUCAGUGUUUAAUGCUCAUCCCCUCACUGUGUGUCUGUGUGUUCUUGUCUCUUGACAGGUCUGUGAGGAUGAGAAGGUCUCCACAGUCUGGAGUCUGGUCUCUGACAGGCUCAACAUACCUGUCAAUCAACAGGGACUCCUCUACAAAGGCAAGGCGCUGGCAGGUAGGCUGAACAGCACAGCACAGCACAGCACAGCACAGCACAGCUCACCCCUCCUCUCACCCCUCGCCUCAUCCCUCCUCUCACUCCUCGCCUCACCCCGGGUCAGUGUGGCACAGCCUGCCUGCUCUUCUGAACAAACACUUCAGCCCUGCCGACGCAGUGAGAGUCUGGAGCAGCAACACAAGGUAACCUGAACACAAACACACACACACACACAGACACACACAAACACACACACAGUGAGAGGCUGGAGCAGCUACACAAGGUAAAUUGAACACAAUAAACACGGCUACACACACAAUCCUAGCUGCAGCAGAUGUACAAUGUUAUACAGACACACACAGACACAGCUGUACAGUGACACAGAGACGCACACACAAUCACAGCUGCAGCAUACACACUCUGAAAUGCAGGUGUAGAGCAGCGUGUAGUUGUGACUCUGUGUCUCUCUCCUCCCCCUCUCCUCUCCUCUCCUUACUUUGUUUAAAAGAAUAGAAGCACACCCAGUGAGCAAGGCAUUGAGCAGCCCCACAUCCCGCUUCACAAUACCGCUACAUAUUGACUGACUGUUCGCAUUGUGUGUGUUUGGUAAGACAAACCACAUUUUCUACUUCUACUUUCUACGAUUGGGCAAGUCAGCGGUUGUUUGAUAACAGAACAUAAAACAUCACAGAGUGGGUUGAACUGCAUUGCUGGAAAUCAAGGCCCUUUAAAAUGUGUACCUUCCCAGCUCAGGUAUUGCUGAGGUAAAGAGACACUUCCUACAGGAGGACAGGACGUUGUCAAGGAGGGGAUGUCGUCACGUGUCCUGAGGGCUUUCUUAAAAACAUUGUUUUAUUAUUUCUAAGCGUACGUUGUUAUUGCCUUUUAGCUCUUGAGCAUAAUAAUCUCAAUCCCGUUUGAAAUGACACUAAGUGCAUUUGCAUGGUGGCAGAUGAGGGAUGUCGCUUCACUCGAGGCUUGCGUACUGAUGAAGAUGUAGUUUCAGUGUUUAAUGCUCAUCCCCUCACUGUGUGUCUGUGUGUGUUCUUGUCUCUCGCCUGUCCUGUGAGGAUGAAGAUGUAGUUUCAGUGUUUAAUGCUCAUCCCCUCACUGUGUGUCUGUGUGUUCUUGUCUCUUGACAGGUCUGUGAGGAUGAGAAGGUCUCCACAGUCUGGAGUCUGGUCUCUGACAGGCUCAACAUACCUGUCAAUCAACAGGGACUCCUCUACAAAGGCAAGGCGCUGGCAGGUAGGCUGAACAGCACAGCACAGCACAGCACAGCACAGCACAGCUCACCCCUCCUCUCACCCCUCGCCUCAUCCCUCCUCUCACUCCUCGCCUCACCCCGGGUCAGUGUGGCACAGCCUGCCUGCUCUUCUAAACAAACACUUCAGCCCUGCCGACGCAGUGAGAGUCUGGAGCAGCAACACGAGGUGAUGAAGUGACACUUUGAAUAUGGGGCCUGAUGAGAGAAGUAUCCUUUUCAUGUGGUUUUGGUUUUGCCGUUGUGAGCAGGUAUGGGAGACAGCACCGUGUCUGCAUGUGAAAUAACAAAGUCAUCGCAGUGGAGGGACUCUCUGAAGGCUGCUGUUUGUGGAUUUGUCUUGUAAUGUGAUGAAGUGACACUUUGAAUAUGGGGCCUGAUGAGAGAAGUAUCCUUUUCUGUGUGCCUGAGUGACAUCCAGAACUUAAGAGAAGUCGUUUCAAUUCUGGUUCUUUCUUGAGGAGAGGUGCCUUGUAGUGGUGAGUGUCAGGGUCAGUGUGGCUCGCUCCUGUGACUCUGAGCCCUGGAGCCGCUUUUAAGGGACAGUGUCCUGCAGAGUCUGCCUGUCUGCCCUUGACAUUGUGUGAGGGCGUUUGUACCUGAGAAUCAGGACUAGCUUCUCGUGACGAAUGGGAUGCUGGCUGGAGCAUUUCUUUAUGUAGUUCAGCAUGUUAGUUCACAUGUAGCUGACAGUGUGGACGUGCUCAUCUUGCAUUGCGAGUGUCAGCUGGUUAAUUCAUGACUACAGUAACCUGCAGGUCACAGCUUGCACAGGUUCAUCAACAUUGUCAGUUCCUCAUGUAUCCAGUGUGCGCAGUGCUGUAGCAGACAGUGAGGAGUAGUGGAGCAACAAUCAAUCCAUUUAUCCAUCCUCUGCCCUUAAAUUUCCCGAGCUGCGAUUACAUAUUGUUGAAUCAAUGCAUGAGAUGAGAGCCCAGUUUGGAGUCUGCUGUUGCCGUUGUCUCAGGAAAUAUGUUGAUCAAGCUCUAGAAUUUAAAGGGGAGGUUCCAUUGUUUCUAAUGUAACCGAGCCUAGGCUAGGAAAUAAGUAGAUCGAGCCAGGAAAUAAGUUGAUCGGAUAUGUUAAUGAAAAAUAAAUAAUUUAAAAUUCAUUUUGUAGGUAUAAUUUAUAUCAAUUUGUAGAUCGGAUUUAUUCAUCAGUAUGCUGCUUGAUAAGAUGAUGUGAAUAUCGCUUUAGAUCCGAUAUAUUAGCCUAACAAAAAUGCAUAAUUUAAAAUGACUUUUGUACGUAUAAUUUACAUUAACAUGUAGAUCGGAUACAUUCGACAGCAUUACGCUAGAUAAGGGAAUGUGAAUAUCGCUGUAAUAUAUAUUAGCAGCAAAUAAAUCAUUUAAAAUGAAUUGUACGAUUGUACAUUUCUGAUUGUGUAUUUCUGUUUGUGUAACAAACGUUAACUAGCAAAACGUGUUGCGUAUUGAAGUUAUUUUGCAUUUCUGGAGGUGUUUUUGUUUUGGGAAGCACUACAGUUUGGACAGCAGGUAUGCGAGCGAUUGUCCAAAAGUUAAAGCAUGAGUUUCAAUCAUGGAAAACAUUAAGCUCCAUGCUGCAAUCACUAACUAGGCCACGGAGCACAUCAAUCACAGGAUGUACUUGAAAAACGUUGCUAAUACAGUAUUAUUAUUUGAUAUUUGUUCUUUCAUUUAUUUUACAUACAGUAUUUUGUAUAAUAAAGGACAGAAAAUGAACAGGAAACUGGUUAUCAUAGUGCAUGUGUUUCAAUUACAAGUUUGGGAAGAAACAAUACAUUCAUUAAUUAAAAUCUAAAGAGUUAACGUCUUUGCUAAACCGUGGUAAAUACCUGUAGUUCAAUACGAACCAUGAUUUUGUGUUGUGAGAGAGAUCAUACAGUAUAUGCAGGCUACUAUAUAUCAGCAUCAUUUUAAAAUGGUAAAUCCCUGUAGUGCAACAACCAAUAAGACAUGUAACGAGAAAGAGAUACAGUAUAUUGAAUUAAAGUGAAUUAUCACGAUUUAAAAUAUUAGCUAUACUAAUAUUAAAAUGUAUAAAAUGACUUGCCCUGCUAAUAAUAUUAUGGAUGCAGCAUGUCAUUAUAUUACUGAAACAUUUUAAGUUUGAUUAAAGAUUGACAACAUUUUGACAUGCAAAAUCAUUUAAUAUAUAGAUAAAUCUCCGCGAUCACACAUAAACUACAUCAGAUUGACAUCGAUGUUAUAGAAACAUAAAAAGACAGGGGUUUAAAACAGUUUACCAUUGAAACAGUCGUCGAUCACACAUUUUAAAGUUCAUACGAAAAGACAGUGGCACGAACACGCACCAACAUAAUACACGGGCAGAUCAAAAUAAAAAGCCAUGCAGUGAACCUCCCCUUUAAUCAAACUGUAGCCCUGCCUUACUUUUGUCUACUUUUAGAACAUAUGAACAUAAGAAAGUUUACAAAUGAGAGGAGGCCAUUCAGCCCAUCUUUGCUUGUUUGGUUGUUAGUAGCUUAUUGAUCCCAGAAUCUCAUCAAGCAGCUUCUUGAAGGAUCCCAGGGUGUCAGCUUCAACAACAUUACUGGGGAGUUGGUUCCAGACCCUCACAAUUCUCUGUGUAAAAAAGUGCCUCCUAUUUUCUGUUCUGAAUGCCCCUUUAUCUAAUCUCCAUUUGUGACCCCUGGUCCUUGUUUCUUUUUUCAGGUCAAAGAAGUCCCAUGGGUCGACAUUGUCUACCUUUUAGGAUUUUGAAUGUUUGAAUCAGAUCGCCCUGUAGUCGUCUUUGUUCAAGACUGAAUAGAUUCAAUUCUUUUAGCCUGUCUGCAUAUGACAUGCCUUUUAAACCCGGGAUAAUUCUGGUUGCUCUUCUUUGCACUCUUUCUAGAGCAGCAAUAUCCUUUUUGUAACAAGGUGACCAGAACUGAACACAAUAUUCUAGGUGAGGUCUUACUAAUUCAUUGUAAAAUUUUAACAUUACUUCCCUUGAUUUACAUUCAACACUCCUCACAAUAUAUCCAAGCAUCUUGUUGGCAUUUUUUUUAUAGCUUCCCCACAUUGUCUAGAAGAAGACAUUUCUGAGUCAACAUAAACUCCUAGGUCUUUUUCAUAGUUCCCUUCUUCAAUUUCAGUAUCUCCCAUAUGAUAUUUGUAAUGCACGUUUUUAUUGCCUGCAUGCAAUACUUUACACUUUUCUCUAUUAAAUUUCAUUUGUCAUGUGUCUGCCCAGGUCUGAAUGCUGUCUAGAUCAUUUUGAAUGACCUUUGCUGCUGCAACAGUGUUUGCCACUCCUAUUUUUGUGUUGUCUGCAGAUUUAACAAGUUUGCUUACUAUACCAGAAUCUAAAUAAUUAAUGUAGAUUAGGAAUAGCAGAGGACCCAAUACUGAUCCCUGUGGUACACCACUGGUUACCUUGCUCCAUUUUGAGGUUUCUCCUCUAAGCAGUACUUUCUGUUUUCUACAUGUUUACCACUCCCUAAUCCAUGUGCAUGCAUUUGCAUCCAUGUGCAUCCCCUGGUCAGCUGUCCAGCUCACUGCUGCAGAAGUUUGUUUGGGGCUGGGACAAUGGACUUGUGUGUUUUAGCCAUUUGUUAAUCUUUGAAGAGGACCUGCAAGUUUGUCUUGCAGUCUUCCCUGCAAUAAUGAUGGACUUUAUUUAUUUGAGAAUCUGUGUUGGAAAAUGUACUUUUUGACGGUGAAGUUGUGUUUAAAAAAACAAGUAAAGGAAAUGUACAUGAUCUCUAACUCGCUAUUUGACAAAUAACAAUUAAAAAAUGAAAGCAUGUGUGAUGCCUAUUUCCCUGCAAGCCCUUUUCUUUGCCCACUGGAGCACACAGCCUCUUAUGGGGGUUUGGAACCGCAAAUCACUGCAUCUUAAACACACAGCUCUAGAGUCCGUAACUACAGCAUGUACUGUACCGUUUAUUGUGUGUGUUUUAAUGAAGUCUGCUGCUGUACUUGUCUGGCUGUGAGCUUUUGCGUUACCAACAAACAAGGAAUUAAACAAAACAAAAGCAGCUCCGUUCUCAGCCUGGCGUGAGAUUGAUUUUUUUUUUUUUUUUAUCUACAAUGGGAAGUGCUUUAGACUGAACAACCUCAAGCUCCCUUCAUCUUGUCACAGCUCUGCACUGUGAUAUAAAGUCUAUUUCCUGUACAUUGUCAUUAUUUUUUGUGUUUUAUUUAUUGUGAUUAUUAUUAUGAUUUUAAGAAUGUAUCGGAAAUGUCUUUGUUUUUGCACAGUGGUAAGGUUAGUCCGAGUCAUUACAAUGGGCAACUGAGCUGUGUUAAGAUAAAACUUUUUUUUUUUAAAUUAAAGAAAAUUAUCUUUAUUAAAAUCAACAGUUCUACUAAAUGGCCACACGAUGGCAGCAUUGAAUAAGGAAUAGCAAGAGCUUCGUUCUGCCUGUCUUCAUAAAGUGCACUGCCUGCUUUGCCCAUUGUUGUAACCUGCUUGACAAAGCCACGCUGAAUUAAUCAGCUCACUGGGGGUGGAGGUGUGU